This 303-nucleotide ribosomal RNA is filed under the name uncultured bacterium. Its description in RNAcentral is "partial 16S ribosomal RNA". It matches the Rfam family "Bacterial small subunit ribosomal RNA", at positions 507 to 809 of the family's 1533-position model. The record is from RNAcentral.
AGCAGCAGCCGCGGGAAUACGGAGGAUCCAAGCGUUAUCCGGAAUCAUUGGGUUUAAAGGGUCCGUAGGCGGUCUUGUAAGUCAGUGGUGAAAGCCCAUCGCUCAACGGUGGAACGGCCAUUGAUACUGCAGGACUUGAAUUAUUGGGAAGUAACUAGAAUAUGUAGUGUAGGGGUGAAAUGCUUAGAGAUUACAUGGAAUACCAAUUGCGAAGGCAGGUUACUACCAAUUGAUUGACGCUGAUGGACGAAAGCGUGGGUAGCGAACAGGAUUAGACCCCCGUAGUCCCUGUCUCUUAUACAC